Molecule: small nuclear RNA, 107 nt
Organism: Equus asinus (donkey)
Lineage: Eukaryota; Metazoa; Chordata; Mammalia; Perissodactyla; Equidae
Source: Ensembl
GUGCUCACUUCAGCAGAACAUAUACUAAAAUUGGAAUGAUACAGAGAAGAUUAGCAUGGCCCCUGUGCAAGGAUGACAUGCAAAUUCGUGAAGCAUUUCAUAUUUUU